AACGAACGCUGGCGGCAUGCCUAACACAUGCAAGUCGAACGAGACCUUCGGGUCUAGUGGCGCACGGGUGCGUAACGCGUGGGAACCUGCCCUUAGGUUCGGAAUAACUCCCCGAAAGGGGUGCUAAUACCGGAUAAUGUCUUCGGACCAAAGAUUUAUCGCCUUUGGAUGGGCCCGCGUUGGAUUAGCUAGUUGGUAGGGUAAAAGCCUACCAAGGCGACGAUCCAUAGCUGGUCUGAGAGGAUGAUCAGCCACACUGGGACUGAGACACGGCCCAGACUCCUACGGGAGGCAGCAGUGGGGAAUAUUGGACAAUGGGCGAAAGCAUGAUCCAGCAAUGCCGCGUGAGUGAUGAAGGCCGUAGGGUUGUAAAGCUCUUUUAACCGGGAUGAUAAUGACAGUACCGGGAGAAUAAGCUCCGGCUAACUCCGUG
This 433-nucleotide ribosomal RNA is filed under the name uncultured bacterium. Its description in RNAcentral is "partial 16S ribosomal RNA". It matches the Rfam family "Bacterial small subunit ribosomal RNA", at positions 29 to 507 of the family's 1533-position model. The record is from RNAcentral.